UUACCGGCUUGACAUGCCAGAGAUUCCUCGGCACAGGUGCUGCAUGGUUGUCGUCAGCUCGUGUCGUGAGAUGUUGGGUUAAGUCCCGCAACGAGCGCAACCCUGUCUUAGUUGUCAUCAAUUGGACCUCUACGAGACUGCCGCGGACAAGCGGAGGAAGGUGGGGAUGACGUCAAAUCAUCAUGGCCCUUACGCCGGGCUACACACGUGCUACAAUGGGGUACAUGGGGCACCGCGAGGGGAGCAAUCCCCAAACCGCCUCAGUUCGGAUUGUAGUCUGCAACUCGACUACAUGAAGCUGGAAUCGCUAGUAAUCGCAGUCAGAACAUGCGGUGAAUACGUUCCCGGGCCUUGUACACACCGCCCGUCAAGCCACGGAAGUUGAAGGCUAAA
RNAcentral lists this ribosomal RNA (393 nucleotides) under uncultured bacterium. RNAcentral describes it as "bacterial SSU rRNA". It matches the Rfam family "Bacterial small subunit ribosomal RNA", at positions 971 to 1422 of the family's 1533-position model. The record is from RNAcentral.